GGACCUAUGGCUCAGUGCUAGAGCAUCUGCUUUACAAGCAGAAGACCUCCGGUUCAAUCUCUGACAUGUCAA
Molecule: transfer RNA, 72 nt
Filed under: Sphaerodactylus townsendi
Lineage: Eukaryota; Metazoa; Chordata; Lepidosauria; Squamata; Sphaerodactylidae
Description: tRNA-Val
Rfam family: tRNA
About the family: Transfer RNA (tRNA) molecules are approximately 80 nucleotides in length. Their secondary structure includes four short double-helical elements and three loops (D, anti-codon, and T loops).
Source: RNAcentral